GACGAACGCUGGCGGCGUGCCUAAUACAUGCAAGUUGAGCGAUGAAGAUUGGUGCUUGCACCAAUUUGAAGAGCAGCGAACGGGUGAGUAACGCGUGGGGAAUCUGCCUUUGAGCGGGGGACAACAUUUGGAAACGAAUGCUAAUACCGCAUAACAACUUUAAACAUAAGUUUUAAGUUUGAAAGAUGCAAUUGCAUCACUCAAAGAUGAUCCCGCGUUGUAUUAGCUAGUUGGUGAGGUAAAGGCUCACCAAGGCGAUGAUACAUAGCCUACCUGAGAGGGUGGUCGGCCACAUUGGGAGUGAGACACGGCCCAAACUCCUACGGGAGGCAGCAGUAGGGAAUCUUCGGCAAUGGACGAAAGUCUGACCGAGCAACGCCGCGCGAGGGAAGAAGGUUUUCGGAUCGUAAAACUCUGUUGGUAGAGAAGAACGUUUGUGAGAGUGGAAAGCUCAUCAAGUGACGGUAACUACACAGAAAGGGACGGCUAACUACGUG
This 497-nucleotide ribosomal RNA is filed under the name uncultured bacterium. RNAcentral's name for it is "partial 16S ribosomal RNA". It matches the Rfam family "Bacterial small subunit ribosomal RNA", at positions 28 to 507 of the family's 1533-position model. The record is from RNAcentral.